CCUACGGGAGGCAGCAGUAGGGAAUAUUGCUCAAUGGGGGAAACCCUGAAGCAGCAACGCCGCGUGGAGGAUGAAGGUUUUAGGAUUGUAAACUCCUUUUGUUAGAGAAGAGCAUGACGGUAUCUAACCAAUAAUCACCGGCCAACUCCGUGCCAGCAGCCGCGGCAAUACGGAGGGGGCAAGCGUUACUCGGAAUCACUGGGCGUAAAGGGUGCGUAGGCGGGGUAAUAAGUCAGAUGUGAAAUCCUGUAGCUUAACUGCAGAACUGCAUUUGAAACUGUUACUCUGGAGUGUGGGAGAGGUAGGUGGAAUUCUUGGUGUAGGGGUGAAAUCCGUAGAGAUCAAGAGGAAUACUCAUUGCGAAGGCGACCUGCUGGAACAUAACUGACGCUGAUGCACGAAAGCGUGGGGAGCAAACAGGAUUAGAUACCCGUGUAGUC
RNAcentral lists this ribosomal RNA (440 nucleotides) under uncultured bacterium. RNAcentral's name for it is "partial 16S ribosomal RNA". It matches the Rfam family "Bacterial small subunit ribosomal RNA", at positions 338 to 795 of the family's 1533-position model. The record is from RNAcentral.